CUCUCUCUCUCGCUCUCUCUCUCUCUCAAGGCCCAAACCAGAGGUGUACUGGAUCAAGUUCAGUCUCUGGAAGAAGAGAUCAAUUCAGGGAACAACAGACAUCGUUCCUGUCAAGAACAUCAUCAUACACCACAAGUACAAUGCUAACACGUAUGAGAAUGACAUAGCCCUGAUAGAGAUGGAGAAGCUUCCAUUCAAGACCCAGUGUUUGAAGAGAACCCAGCAGUCAGUGCUGUGUGUGUUCCUGGUCCGUACAACUGUUCAACCCUAACCAUACCUGCAGCAUAUCAGGCUGGGGGAGGAAGAAAGAUGGUUCGUCAUCUGAUGUGCUGCUCUGGGCCAACGUCUCUCUGAUCGCCAACUGUCAAGAAUUCUACGGUCCGCGUUACUACGAUGGAAUGAUGUGCGCAG
Molecule: long non-coding RNA, 411 nt
Organism: Oncorhynchus gorbuscha (pink salmon)
Lineage: Eukaryota; Metazoa; Chordata; Actinopteri; Salmoniformes; Salmonidae
Exons: 3
Source: RefSeq, a predicted model, not a curated record